Molecule: ribosomal RNA, 721 nt
Filed under: uncultured bacterium
Lineage: Bacteria
Description: bacterial SSU rRNA
Rfam family: Bacterial small subunit ribosomal RNA
Source: RNAcentral
UGCAGUCGAGGGGCAUCACGUGUAGCAAUACAUGGUGGCGACCGGCGGAAGGGUGCGUAACGCGUGAGCAACAUGCCCGUAUCAGGGGGAUAAACCAGGGAAACUUGGUCUAAUACCGCAUAAUAAGUUUCUAAGGCAUCUUAGGGAUUUUAAAGUUUUGGUGGAUACGGAUUGGCUCGCGUGACAUUAGCUAGAUGGUAAGGUAACGGCUUACCAUGGCAACGAUGUCUAGGGGUUCUGAGAGGAAGAUCCCCCACACUGGAACUGAGACACGGUCCAGACUCCUACGGGAGGCAGCAGUGAGGAAUAUUGGACAAUGGAUGGAAAUCUGAUCCAGCCAUGCCGCGUGCAGGAAGACAGCCCUAUGGGUUUUAAACUGCUUUUAUACGGGAGCAAUAAGGACUAUGCGUAGUUUGAUGAGAGUACCGUACGAAUAAGCACCGGCUAACUCCGUGCCAGCAGCCGCGGUAAUACGGAGGGUGCAAGCGUUAUCCGGAUUUAUUGGGUUUAAAGGGUGCGUAGGCGGUUUUAUAAGUCAGCGGUGAAAUUUUUCAGCUUAACUGGAACAAUGCCGUUGAUACUGUAAAGCUGGAAUAUGGUUGCUGUGGGUGGAAUGUGUGGUGUAGCGGUGAAAUGCUUAGAUAUCACACAGAAUAUCGAUUGCGAAGGCAGCUCACAAAUCCAUUAUUGACGCUGAUGCACGAAAGUGUGGGGAUCAAAC